Molecule: long non-coding RNA, 1939 nt
Organism: Anarrhichthys ocellatus (wolf-eel)
Lineage: Eukaryota; Metazoa; Chordata; Actinopteri; Perciformes; Anarhichadidae
Exons: 5
Source: RefSeq, a predicted model, not a curated record
UCUGGACAAAUGAUUCUGUCUCUGCUCUUUGUGACGUCCCUGAUCUUUGUGGCGUCAUGCCUUUCUAUGGAGUCUGUUUAUGAACUGACGUCAUUUGUGACGCUUUGCCUUUGAUCUUGAAGAAUCAUUGCGUCUCUGAUCUUGGUGUGACGUCAUGCCAUUCUAUGCGCCAGUGACGUCACCGCAGCUGCGACGAGGCUGUCCCAUUUAGAAAACUCCUUCCAAUGUAAAAGUACAGAAAUGAAUAAAUAAAAGAAUAAAUACAUGAUUGUGCAGCACCGAGGACCGCAAACGCACCACGUUCACCUCCGCGGCCGCCACUAUAACGUCACACCCAGGCACCCAGUGGACGCCGAGGUUUCAAGACUGUUUGGUCCACACUUUGGAGGGAGAAGGACGACAAGGAGGUGAACUGUGCGCGUGCACAGCUUCAUUCGUACACUCACUCUUUCUGUUGUAUUGAGGACAAACCGAUAUGCCAGAGAUAGACUUGCUGCUGCAGGACUUGGGGAAACACGUCUUACAUUCCAAGGUAGUCAUACUGAUCCAGAUGACUUUAGAGAAUUUAUUUUAGAGGCAUAUCAAACACUCAGACAAAGGGCAGGAUUUGAGUUGCUCAAAAUCUCUGGAACAACACGGUGGCCAACUGAUCAUCAUACCAUGUCCCAAUGAGGGUUACCAUGUGAGACAUUUGAAAGAUCCACAAACACAGAUUGGUCAUGCUACAAUUUUCAUCCGACCACUCCAAAGAAACCUGAAUCUGGACCCUGUAAGAUCCUCACUUUUAAAUUGGUGUUCCCAUAUGAAAAUGGCAGAGUGUGAACAGUUACAUAAGUAUAGCUUGUGUUACAUUUUAAAAUGAUCUUGUUUACAGGCAUGUCAACCAGAAUACAGUUAAUGAGCUAGUUGGACCACCUCAGAAAUGUGUGACGUGUGGAGAGGAGUUCCCUUUGACAGGAAUCAAGGCUCACAGUGAUGAAUGCGUGAGGUAUCGCUCUACAGAACUAAAACGUCACAUUUGUCAAGCACUCAAGGAGUCGUACAUCAGACAUUAAGCAUUAGGCUCUGGAGUCUGCCAAAAGAUGUAAAGCAUUUUGAAUGUGGAUGAUCCUGUAUGAUCCUGAAUAUUGGUCUUGAGGGAAAGUUGAAUUUGAAUGGAUUUAUUCUAUUCUAUUUAUAUGACCAUUCUUUUCUAGUUGCAGUGUUUUUGUGAAUGUGUAAUGUAAUAUAAAAUAUACUGGCCCCAAUAACAAAACGUGCUUCUCUUUACCCAAGACCAUCACAGAGCAGUGGUGAGGUAGAAAUUGUGGUGACCACAGAAAGUGCCUCCUGAAGUGAAGGUAGAUUUGUGAGCAUGUUGACAAGACUACAGGGAAGUGAGACAACAAGGGCCAGCAACACAAACUACUGCGUGCCACCUCAGGGACAUGUGGCUGCUCCUGAGAUAGUUGACCUAGAUCCCAUGAGGAGAGAGGCUUCUCAGGUGUGUUACAUCAUUUAAACAUUACAUCAUUUAUUGCAAUAAAUUGUUGCUCUCUACAUAUCAAUUCAUCCAGUAUUAAUUGGAAUAAUUUAAAAACUUUUUUUAGAUUGGAAAAUUCUUUCAAAUCCCAGUGAGGCAGCAAAGAGAUUCAAAGAAGACAUUUUAAGCCAGCAUGCAACUGGAAGAUCAUUCUAUCUUACCAUGGAUUUUGGAGACAGUGCAGAGGACAGUCCUUUCUUUUUAUAAGAGGGCUAAUGUUGAGUGGGCUUGCCCCUUGACAUGCACACUCAAGGGAGAUCCAGCAAUUGGUGAUGGCGUGACUCUCCAUCUCUUUGCAACCAUCAUGUCCAAACUUCAGUAUGGUUUUGAGAUGAAUUUUGUGGGCCAUGCCUUGGAGGACUCAGCCCAGCUAUCCUGCAUGUGCUCUUUGGUGGAUCCCCAGAAGAAGCCAUAAUA